This 999-nucleotide ribosomal RNA is filed under the name human gut metagenome. RNAcentral describes it as "bacterial LSU rRNA". It matches the Rfam family "Bacterial large subunit ribosomal RNA", at positions 1923 to 2925 of the family's 2925-position model. The record is from RNAcentral.
GUAAACGGCGGCCGUAACUAUAACGGUCCUAAGGUAGCGAAAUUCCUUGUCGGGUAAGUUCCGACCCGCAUGAAAGGCGUAAUGAUUUGGGCACUGUCUCAACGAGGGGCCCGGUGAAAUUGAAAUACCUGUGAAGAUGCAGGUUACCCGCGACUGGACAGAAAGACCCCAUGGAGCUUCACUGCAGCUUGAGAUUGAAUCCCGGUGACAGAUGCACAGGAUAGGUGGGAGGCGCCGAAGCAUUGCCCUAGGGCGGUGCGGAGCCGAUGUUGGGAUACCACCCUUCUGUUGCUGAGAUUCUAACGCGAGGAGUAACGACCCUGCGGACCCUCUCAGGCAGGCGGUUUGACUGGGGCGGUCGCCUCCGAAAGAGUAACGGAGGCGCCCAAAGGUUCCCUCAGGCCGGACAGAAACCGGCCGAAGAGUGCAAAGGCAGAAGGGAGCUUGACUGCGAGACCAACAAGUCGAGCAGAGACGAAAGUCGGGCUUAGUGAUCCGGUGGUACUGAGUGGAAAGGCCAUCGCUCAACGGAUAAAAGCUACCCUGGGGAUAACAGGCUAAUCUCUCCCAAGAGUUCAUAUCGACGGGGAGGUUUGGCACCUCGAUGUCGGCUCAUCACAUCCUGGGGCUGGAGUAGGUCCCAAGGGUUGGGCUGUUCGCCCAUUAAAGUGGUACGCGAGCUGGGUUCAAAACGUCGUGAGACAGUUUGGUUCAUAUCCAUCGCGGGCGCAAGAAGUUUGAGAGGAGCUGCUCCUAGUACGAGAGGACCGGAGUGGACGGAUCAACGGUGUCCCAGUUGUCACGCCAGUGGCACGGCUGGAAAGCCGCAUCCGGGAAGGAUAAACGCUGAAAGCAUCUAAGCGCGAAGCCAACCUCAAGAUGAGACUUCUCAUCAGCAAUGAGUAAGACCCCUUACAGACGAUGAGGUAGAUAGGUUAUGAGUGGAAGAGCCGCAAGGCUUGGAGCGACAUAAAACUAAUAGGUCGAGGUCUUAACUUA